Molecule: long non-coding RNA, 495 nt
Organism: Sycon ciliatum
Lineage: Eukaryota; Metazoa; Porifera; Calcarea; Leucosolenida; Sycettidae
Exons: 3
Source: RefSeq, a predicted model, not a curated record
UACGGUACGGCCGGCCCUUGGCAACCGGGCCUUGGGCUGCAGGCUCGGGCAAGAUUCAGCAACCAUGACCUCCUAGAUCCUGAGCGUGCUUGAUUACAUACAUGUAGAUCUACAUAGAACGCAAGACCACGAGUUGAGUUUUCGUCACUUGGACAGCUGUGAAAAGGCAGGUGUGCAAUCUUGUGAAUUGUCUACAAGUAUACAUUGUAGUUGAGUUUUCGGACCUUCCUGGCUUUCCAGCAAGUUCAGAGCUGCCGCUGGUUUCUUGCCGCAACCUUCUGCAGUUGGAUCGUCACUGGGACCGCUCUCGAACUGUGAUCAUCCCCAAUCGCAUUUGGUAGAAUCGACCACCCGGCUUCUUGGCAGGACCAAACAUAGCUACAGGGCAAGACAAUGGAGUGUUGUACGUUACUUUGCAUCUUGGCAAUUUUGGCGCUGGCAAUGGUAGAUUUUUCAAAACCACAACCAUUUCAACAAUUUCAAUUACCAAUAUUU